This is a long non-coding RNA of Oreochromis aureus, 1906 nucleotides long. NCBI's taxonomy places the organism in Eukaryota, Metazoa, Chordata, Actinopteri, Cichliformes, Cichlidae. The record is from Ensembl.
UAAGGGCUGAAACUCAGCCUCUGGGGAGGCCCUGGAGUUCAUCACAGUCACUGAAAUGGCCAGCUUUUGAGGACUGGUUACAAUACUAUGCGGUUUGUCUCUCUGCUUAGAAUGAACAGACGAAACACAGUUCUUUUCGGGUUGAAAUGACUUGCAUUGUUGUACAGGUGGAGCAACAGACACAGGACGCAGGGCUAGUGGCUGCUGAAGAGGAGGCUGGACUGAGGGUGACUGAAAUAAUGGUUGGGACGACAAUGGUGGUGAAGUUGGAGACUGAGCUGAUGGUAAGGGAGAUGAUUCUUUUACCAACUGAGCUAUUGACUGGGCUAUGGAUUCUAACAUCGUUUGCAGUAAGUCUGGCUCUGGUAGUGACAGAGCUAUGGGUUGCGAGGCAGAACGUGAUGGAGGUGACGACUGAGCGGCUAACUGAGCUUGUGGCUGCCGUGCGGCUAACUGAGCUCCUAGAGGCUGGGCAGCUAAGUGAGCUCCUGGAGGCUGGGCAGCUAAGUGAGCUCCUGGAGGCUGGGCAGCUAAGUGAGCUACUAGAGGGUGGGCAGCUAAGUGAGCUCCUGGAGGGUGGGCAGCUAAGUGAGCUCCUGGAAACACAUUCUUAUAAUCGACAGUAGCAGGUGAGCCAGGGAAAACACCAUAGUCCUUACUGGCGGCACAGAAAACGGCGGGCCGGGCCGCAGAUUCCCCGGCGGGCAGAGCAAAACAUUCGCCGCCGGGCUGGGUUGGGAAGCGGUAGCGGUUGAAGGGUGAAGGUGAAGCUCGUUCAGAAUGAAGUCCUGUGCGAGCGGAUGAAGAGAGUCCAGUAGCCAGGGGUGAGCAGAGAUUAAGUGCUGUAGCCUGGCUUCUACAGCGCGGUGAAAUUCCUCUCCCUCAUGUUCGAGCCACAGAUUGACCAAUCGUGAGACAGAGUCAAUUACCUCCUCCCGAAACUCCUGGGAGGGCGCGGAUGCUGCUGGGUCCAUGUUUGGUCGGCUCGUACUGUCACGGCUGGGGCAGCAGUCGUGUUGUGGAAUGAAAGGAGGACCCAAAAUGCAGGCAGCCGACUGAUGAUGUGAGUGAGUUUAUUUACACAGUGGCAGGGUGACAAAAACGGGCAAUAAAGUAUGAGCAGCUACUAAAGCAGACCUAAACUGGGAUAAACUAAAGAGCAAACCUGAAGUAAUACGAAACGGAGAAUGCAGAGAGACACAGAGAGACGCUGAUGAACGCAGAGGUACACAGAGAUACACAGACGAGCCGACGCCAGGCACAGACUGACACCCACUAUAUAUACACACACAAACAAGGAGACCAGGUAAUGACAUACAGGUGGGAGCACAGCUGAUUCUAAUACACAAGACGACCUGAGGAUACAAGCUGAACACGAUAACAGACACAGACCUUCAGAACAGAACAGGAAAUCCAGAACACGAGCCUUCAAAGUAAAACAGGAAACCUACAGACUGUUUUACAAUACGAGGACAUGACAGAGCACCGAGGACAGACACAGGUAGGGCUGAUAAAACACUGAGCUCCAGAUUCAACCCUAAACUACUACAAAAUCAGAAUAAACACAAGGCACAAAGUGAACUCCAAGGAAACACAAAACGCUGGGUCAAAAUGACCCAGGAUCAUGACAUUCUCAGCCUGUAGGGGAAAGUAAGGGGGUGAAUAAAUUGUCCUAUCUGCCCAGCCAUAGCUGGACUGGCCAUCGGGCAUACCGGGCAUUUGCCCGGUGGGCCGAUGGUGAUUUUUCGUUUUUAUUGGCCGAUGGGGUUUUUUUUUUUUUUCGUUUUUUCCCGUAACGGUAUAGACACUGAAAGGUGGUGGAUUGGCCAGAUGCUGGGAGAUGUGUAAAAAUAACUCAAUUGUUUGGUGGUGGCUAUGGGGGAGCUUCCACAGAUUCAGUAACAUU